This 170-nucleotide ribosomal RNA is filed under the name Bacillus anthracis (anthrax bacterium). Its description in RNAcentral is "partial 23S ribosomal RNA". It matches the Rfam family "Bacterial large subunit ribosomal RNA", at positions 1 to 170 of the family's 2925-position model. Lineage: Bacteria; Bacillati; Bacillota; Bacilli; Caryophanales; Bacillaceae. RNAcentral also lists the same sequence under 1 other name. The record is from RNAcentral.
GGUUAAGUUAGAAAGGGCGCACGGUGGAUGCCUUGACACUAGGAGUCGAUGAAGGACGGGACUAACGCCGAUAUGCUUCGGGGAGCUGUAAGUAAGCUUUGAUCCGAAGAUUUCCGAAUGGGGAAACCCACCAUACGUAAUGGUAUGGUAUCCUUAUCUGAAUACAUAGG